AAUGAAGUGCCUGAUUAAAGGGCUACCUUGAUAGGGUAAAUUAAGUAAUUUAGAUUACCUUCAUUA
This 66-nucleotide transfer RNA is filed under the name Sinopodisma pieli. Its description in RNAcentral is "tRNA-Ile". The record is from RNAcentral. Lineage: Eukaryota; Metazoa; Arthropoda; Insecta; Orthoptera; Acrididae.